GAAAAAUAUAUAUGUUCUUCGUUAUGCAUACUCUGAUUGGUGCAUCUCAUAAAGAAGUUGUAGCCCAUCCAAGCAAUCAGCAAUGCUAGGCUUCAUCCCGACGUGUUGCUGUAGCUGUUUCACAUUCUUCUGAACAGAUCCCCCUUUUAUGAGCUGUCUACCAUCACGAACCAUCUUAUCAAGCGACAACACAACCACAUGAAACUUUUCCAUAGUUUCAUUCAUUGAAAGCAAGAUAUUUUGUAGAGAAUUCAUCUGUUUCAGCAAGACAGCUUCCUGAAUGGCUUCAACACAUGUCAAAGCACCAUAGUUCUUAGAAUCCUGAAGAAUCUGUAACCUCUGAAUGAUGGAAGAAGCAUUGUUGAAUUGAGAUAGUAAUCGAGAUUGUAGCUCAUUCCACUUCUCCAUCUCUUCCUUCACUUUCCUGAAUCUCUGCUGAUACUUUUUAAUUAUAACGUCCAUCUCCAAUUUACCCAAACCUAACCUAUCAAUAUUUAAUCAAACAAUUAAAAAAAAAAAACCUAUAA
RNAcentral lists this unclassified non-coding RNA (527 nucleotides) under Hevea brasiliensis (rubber tree). The record is from RNAcentral. Lineage: Eukaryota; Viridiplantae; Streptophyta; Magnoliopsida; Malpighiales; Euphorbiaceae.